This 2630-nucleotide long non-coding RNA is filed under the name Octopus sinensis (East Asian common octopus). Its description in RNAcentral is "uncharacterized LOC118763817". Lineage: Eukaryota; Metazoa; Mollusca; Cephalopoda; Octopoda; Octopodidae. The record is from RNAcentral.
AUAUAUAUAUAUACACACACACACACACAUUAUACAAAAUAAUUGUAGUAUAUGUAUUAAGAAAUUGUCUUAAAUUUACAAAAAAAAAAUAUAUUGUGAUAGAAUUGUUUCUGAGUUCCUCUAUAGUCUUCCAUAAAUAGUUAUUGUUUUCUAAAAAUUUUCUUAUAAAAUGUUUUGAAUGAUAACCUAGGAAUCGUAGUACAGAUGAUGUUUGAGAAGAUGGGGAGAGAUUUUAAAAAUAUAUAAACAUAGACCACCCACACACCAAUAUAUAUUCGCAAAAGGAAUAUAAAUACAUUCCUCAUUCUAAAAAUAAUUGCUAAAGUUUAUUUUUUGUUUCUGUUUUAAUGAACAAAAAACUUUCAUUAUUUUGUGUUUUUAUUUUUAGCUGGAAAAAUCUAUUUUUGCUGAAAAUGCACAUGCACAAUCUAUGAACUCACAAAGUGCAUUUAAUUUGUUGCUGAAUCUGAUUAAACAUUUUAAUACUCUAGAAAAGCGCAUAUUCAUAAAUUUCCAGGUUUAUGUAUCUUAUAACAAUUCUAUUCACAGUUAAAAUAUUAUGAUGUAAAAUAUCGGAAAAAUUCAUACUUUUUGAAACUGUUCUGAAGCCACAAAACUCUGGCAUUAAAAUUUUAUUUAUAUCUAUCAUUGAAUAAAAGUAAAUGGAGCCCCUGUCGAUUUUGACAGCUUUUUGAUUGUCUGAACUACUUACUUGUUAAAUUAGAGUGUAAAUGGUUGAGUAUUCCACAGAUGUAUGUACAUAAUUCUCAGGCAGUAUCAGCAUGACAUAAUGUGUGUGACACAGCUCACCUUUUGAAUUACAGGUAUUCUUGCAGUUUCUCUCAACCUAAUUUCGCUCACAAGGUUUGGAUUGACCUGUGACUGUAAGGGGAUAACGAUAUGUGAAAAUACAUCAAUAUCCAGUAGCCACCUCACCCUUAACUAUAUCAAAUACAGAAUUAGAUCAAAGAAAACUACAUAGAAUAUAUAAUUAAAAAUGGAAAGAAGUCUUUUGAGUGAUUCUAGUCUUCUCUAUGAAUGCAAAACAUGGAAGAACAAUUUUAAAAGCCCUUUUUUUGUUUUAAUAUAGGAGUAGUUGAAUCUUGGAUUCCAUAUCAAACAUUUCUGUAGUCAGUUAAAAGGGUUGGGGGGAAAUACUGACCCUUUGCUUAUUGCUUUUGAACUGAUUUAGAUAUCAGCUUCAACUGCAGUCAAUAUUCUUUCCCCUUCGUUUGCAUAUUUUCCUGAAUCAUAUCAUUUAACGCUUCGUCAAUUGAAUUUUAUGAAUCUAUAGAAGAUCUGAAGAGUCUAGUGUCUAGAUAAGAUGCUUUAAGUGCCUCAAAAUAUAUAAAAUUGGAGUAGAUGAUGAUUUUUAUGUGGGGAGUAGGAAUGGAAGUUUAAUCAUUUGAGGUUUUGGUAUCCAAACCUUGGAUAAGUAAAUUAGUUAAAGCAAUAAAAUGAUUUCAGUUACAAUUAGAAAUAUUUCUCUAGAUUUAUUUCAUUGUUUUCUUUUGGUUUUCUCUAUAUUUCUCCUUUUGUCUUUUUUUUCCUUUUUUUUAAAAAUAUUUAUCUUUAGAUGAGCAACAUUUAAAGAAAAUUAUUCCAAAUGAUAAACAUUACUCAAUGGUGCCAUGGAAUGUAGUUUCGGAUAUUGCCUUUUUAAAAAUAAUAGAAAGUUUUGUAAAUAUAAAACGUGUCUGAAAUGGAAUCAGACUUUUGGAUAGUAUAUCUAGCAAAAUGCUCGGAGGCAUUUUUUCUGCCUCUUUACAUUCUGAGUUCAAAUACCACCAAGGUCAACUUUAAUCCUUUCAGGGUUGAUAAAAUAAAGUACUAGUCAUGUACUGGGGUCAAUGUAAUCGACUGGUUCCCCACUGAAAAUUACAGGCCUUGUGCCAAAACUUUAAACAAUUUUUAUUAUUUGUAGACAAAAGUAAAAUUGAUAAAAUGGAAAUCAAAUUAUUGAACACAACUUAGUACUCUACAUGAAAGUACUGGAUAUCUUGUUUACUACGUUUUUAUUAUACAUUUGCAUGUAUAAAACUUUCCUGUAUGUAUAGCAGAAAAACACACACACCUGACAUAAUUUGCUGCUCAUUAUUGUUAAUAUAUUUUUAAAGAUAGAGAGAGAGCUUUAAUCCUUUAGCAUUCAUUUUUAGAAUUAAUUGUUGCGAGAUGCCAGAUCUGGCCAAUUUGACCAUGAAACAGGAAGAAUGUUUUGGCCAAAUAUGGCUGGUUUCGAUGCUAAAGGGUUAACGAAAGUAUACAAUGUCAAAGAAUUCCCAAAAAUAUUGACGCAUUGUAAGUUUUAUUGAUUCGACAACCAGUAAUUGUACUUGGGUUCUUUGAUAUUGUGUACUUCCAAUAAAGUUCUCUCUUUGAAAAUAAUUUGCUGCUUAUUAUUGUUGAUAUAUUUAUGUCAUGAAAAGAAAAAGCCUGCACACUUGCAGUGAUUUAAUAUUGAGCUGCUUCGGAAAAAUUUACUGGAAACUUUUUAAAAGGAAAUAAGCAAUGAGUCUAAAUAAUCAAUUACUAUUGAUAACUUCAUUGAAUUUUGUGUCUUCAAUAAUUGAAUGCAGGCUCUGCACAAUAUAUAAACAUAUUAUUUUGUAAUAAAAUUGUAAAAAUUUGAA